Molecule: ribosomal RNA, 389 nt
Filed under: uncultured bacterium
Lineage: Bacteria
Description: bacterial SSU rRNA
Rfam family: Bacterial small subunit ribosomal RNA
Source: RNAcentral
GGUAUAUUGGCCAAUGGGCGCAAGCCUGAUCCAGCCAUGCCGCGUGAGUGAUGAAGGCCUUCGGGUUGUAAAGCUCUUUUGGCGGGGACGAUGAUGACGGUACCCGCAGAAUAAGCCCCGGCUAACUUCGUGCCAGCAGCCGCGGUAAGACGAAGGGGGCAAGCGUUGUUCGGAAUUACUGGGCGUAAAGGGCGCGUAGGCGGCCCGAUCAGUCAGGCGUGAAAGCCCUGGGCUUAACCUGGGAGGUGCGCUUGAUACUGUUGGGCUUGAGUGUGGGGGAGGAUGGUGGAAUUCCCAGUGUAGAGGUUAAAUUCGUAGAUAUCCGGAGGAACACCAGUGGCGAAAGCGGCUUCCUGAACUGUAACUGACGCUCAGACGCGAAAGCUAGG